Felis catus (domestic cat) is the source of this 92-nucleotide non-coding RNA. NCBI's taxonomy places the organism in Eukaryota, Metazoa, Chordata, Mammalia, Carnivora, Felidae. The record is from Rfam.
GCCUGGGUGGCUCAGUCAGUUAAGCAUCUGACUCUUGGUUUCAGCUCAGGCCAUGAUCUCACAGUUCGUGGGUUCAAGCCCCACGUCAGGCU